RNAcentral lists this ribosomal RNA (503 nucleotides) under uncultured bacterium. Its description in RNAcentral is "partial 16S ribosomal RNA". It matches the Rfam family "Bacterial small subunit ribosomal RNA", at positions 28 to 523 of the family's 1533-position model. The record is from RNAcentral.
GAUGAACGCUAGCGAUAGGCCUAACACAUGCAAGUCGAGGGGCAGCAUAGAGUAGCAAUACUUUGAUGGCGACCGGCGCACGGGUGAGUAACACGUAUGCAACCUACCUACAUCAGGGGAAUAACCCGGAGAAAUUCGGACUAAUACCGCAUAAUACAGGGAUGCCGCAUGGCAAUAUUUGUUAAAGAUUUAUCGGAUGUAGAUGGGCAUGCGUUCCAUUAGCUGGUUGGUAAGGUAACGGCUUACCAAGGCAACGAUGGAUAGGGGAACUGAGAGGUUUGGCCCCCACACUGGAACUGAGACACGGACCAGACUCCUACGGGAGGCAGCAGUGAGGAAUAUUGGUCAGUGGACGAGAGUCUGAACCAGCCAAAUCGCGUGAAGGAAGACUGCCCUACGGGUUGUAAACUUCUUUUGUACAGGAAUAAAAGACAUUACGUGUAAUGUAUUGCAUGUACUGUACGAAUAAGCAUCGGCUAACUCCGUGCCAGCAGCCGCGGUAA